AGACGGGUGGCUUAAGAUCAUUAUGCCAACAUCCUAGUCAAAAGACGCAGUCCUCGGUCUAGACAGGCAGUAUCAACCAAGGCUAUAACACUCCACCGAAGUAGAGCCACAUUCCUUAGUCAUUAUCCUACCAUCCAAACCGAUGCUGGCCCAGUAAGCUGCGAGGAACCCAACCAAGAAGGAAAGGAUCGCAAAAUACCAAGUCUGAUCUCAAGCCCUUCCCUUUCAACAAUUUCACGUACUUUUUCACUCUCUUUUCAAAGUUCUUUUCAUCUUUCCAUCACUGUACUUGUUCGCUAUCGGUCUCUCGCCAAUAUUUAGCUUUAGAUGGAAUUUACCACCCACUUAGAGCUGCAUUCCCAAACAACUCGACUCUUCGAAAGCACUUUACAUAGAAUUGGGCAUCUCAUCGCACGGGAUUCUCACCCUCUGUGACGUCCUGUUCCAAGGAACAUAGACAAGAGCCAACUCCAAAGUUACCUUCUUCAAAUUACAACUCGGACACCGAAGGUGCCAGAUUUCAAAUUUGAGCUUUUGCCGCUUCACUCGCCGUUACUAAGGCAAUCCCUGUUGGUUUCUUUUCCUCCGC
This 589-nucleotide ribosomal RNA is filed under the name Debaryomyces hansenii. Its description in RNAcentral is "partial 26S ribosomal RNA". Lineage: Eukaryota; Fungi; Ascomycota; Pichiomycetes; Serinales; Debaryomycetaceae. The record is from RNAcentral.